UAAGAGAUUUAGGCACCAGCUGACUUUACCACCCUGAGCUGGAUUUCUCUUCAGCUAGCUGGAUUACUCUUCAGCUAUAUAUAUUUUUUUUUGAUUUGGAUCAGAGAUCUCUUUUCUUUUUUUUUUUUGAUUUGCAGGGUUGGCUCAGCUGGCUUACAACAGAUAGAAAGAUAAGAGAAGUGUUUGAUGGAAUGAAUGAUCUGAGUAGUCAAAUCGCAAACCCUAACCUUCAAGUGGCUCUGAUACCACUUGGUGCAGCCUGGGUAUGGCUUAAACUCUGGAUCACUUGAAGGUGGAUGGAUAGAGGGCGUUCUAAGAGGCUACUAGCUCUCCUUUGAACUAUGAACGUCUCCCUGAGCCUGUGGGUUGGCGCCAAGGAUGGUUUGCUACUCAAAGACACAAGAUCACCUUGUAUUGUCUAAGAUGGGAUUCACAGGAAUUCCUUCCUUUAAGUGAGAUCAAUGUUCUAGAGCUGAACAGAGAAAGCUAGAGACAAGACAACAACGUUGACUGAAUAAUUCUUAGACUGAAAGUUGAGAAAACAAAGCUGCAGCCUCCAUGUUCUUAAAGUAAAAAUCGAAAACCCUAAUGCUAAACCAAGGUGGUUUAAUUCUAAUUCUAAUCCUAAUUGUCUUUGGUUUAAAUUAAAUGAAAGCCCAAUAACCAAACCCUUACAAAGUAAUUAAAUUAAACCAACAAGCUGGUUUAUCUUGAUCUCCUUGCCUUGAACCAAGGCCCACGGUUUUGGCUAUCUCCUGGAGCCUCU
Molecule: long non-coding RNA, 766 nt
Filed under: Brassica rapa (field mustard)
Lineage: Eukaryota; Viridiplantae; Streptophyta; Magnoliopsida; Brassicales; Brassicaceae
Description: long non-coding RNA (BRAP_LNC008657)
Source: RNAcentral